GCGGGCGUGGCGGAAUUGGCAGACGCGCUGGAUUUAGGUUCCAGUGUCCACGGACGUGGGGGUUCAAGUCCCCCCGCCCGCACCA
Molecule: transfer RNA, 85 nt
Rfam family: tRNA
About the family: Transfer RNA (tRNA) molecules are approximately 80 nucleotides in length. Their secondary structure includes four short double-helical elements and three loops (D, anti-codon, and T loops).